RNAcentral lists this ribosomal RNA (1331 nucleotides) under Mycobacterium sp. NJS-P. RNAcentral describes it as "16S ribosomal RNA". It matches the Rfam family "Bacterial small subunit ribosomal RNA", at positions 91 to 1434 of the family's 1533-position model. Lineage: Bacteria; Bacillati; Actinomycetota; Actinomycetes; Mycobacteriales; Mycobacteriaceae. The record is from RNAcentral.
UCGAGUGGCGAACGGGUGAGUAACACGUGGGUGAUCUGCCCUGCACUUUGGGAUAAGCCUGGGAAACUGGGUCUAAUACCGAAUAGGACCACGCGCUUCAUGGUGUGUGGUGGAAAGCUUUUGCGGUGUGGGAUGGGCCCGCGGCCUAUCAGCUUGUUGGUGGGGUAAUGGCCUACCAAGGCGACGACGGGUAGCCGGCCUGAGAGGGUGACCGGCCACACUGGGACUGAGAUACGGCCCAGACUCCUACGGGAGGCAGCAGUGGGGAAUAUUGCACAAUGGGCGCAAGCCUGAUGCAGCGACGCCGCGUGAGGGAUGACGGCCUUCGGGUUGUAAACCUCUUUCAGUAGGGACGAAGCGCAAGUGACGGUACCUAUAGAAGAAGGACCGGCCAACUACGUGCCAGCAGCCGCGGUAAUACGUAGGGUCCGAGCGUUGUCCGGAAUUACUGGGCGUAAAGAGCUCGUAGGUGGUUUGUCGCGUUGUUCGUGAAAACUCACAGCUCAACUGUGGGCGUGCGGGCGAUACGGGCAGACUGGAGUACUGCAGGGGAGACUGGAAUUCCUGGUGUAGCGGUGGAAUGCGCAGAUAUCAGGAGGAACACCGGUGGCGAAGGCGGGUCUCUGGGCAGUAACUGACGCUGAGGAGCGAAAGCGUGGGGAGCGAACAGGAUUAGAUACCCUGGUAGUCCACGCCGUAAACGGUGGGUACUAGGUGUGGGUUUCCUUCCUUGGGAUCCGUGCCGUAGCUAACGCAUUAAGUACCCCGCCUGGGGAGUACGGCCGCAAGGCUAAAACUCAAAGAAAUUGACGGGGGCCCGCACAAGCGGCGGAGCAUGUGGAUUAAUUCGAUGCAACGCGAAGAACCUUACCUGGGUUUGACAUGCACAGGACGCCGGCAGAGAUGUCGGUUCCCUUGUGGCCUGUGUGCAGGUGGUGCAUGGCUGUCGUCAGCUCGUGUCGUGAGAUGUUGGGUUAAGUCCCGCAACGAGCGCAACCCUUGUCUCAUGUUGCCAGCACGUUAUGGUGGGGACUCGUGAGAGACUGCCGGGGUCAACUCGGAGGAAGGUGGGGAUGACGUCAAGUCAUCAUGCCCCUUAUGUCCAGGGCUUCACACAUGCUACAAUGGCCGGUACAAAGGGCUGCGAUGCCGUGAGGUGGAGCGAAUCCUUUCAAAGCCGGUCUCAGUUCGGAUCGGGGUCUGCAACUCGACCCCGUGAAGUCGGAGUCGCUAGUAAUCGCAGAUCAGCAACGCUGCGGUGAAUACGUUCCCGGGCCUUGUACACACCGCCCGUCACGUCAUGAAAGUCGGUAACACCCGAAGCCGGUGGC